This 492-nucleotide ribosomal RNA is filed under the name uncultured bacterium. RNAcentral describes it as "partial 16S ribosomal RNA". It matches the Rfam family "Bacterial small subunit ribosomal RNA", at positions 29 to 507 of the family's 1533-position model. The record is from RNAcentral.
AGUGAACGCUGGCGGUAGGCCUAACACAUGCAAGUCGAACGGCAGCACAGUAAGAGCUUGCUCUUACGGGUGGCGAGUGGCGGACGGGUGAGGAAUACAUCGGAAUCUACUUUUUCGUGGGGGAUAACGUAGGGAAACUUACGCUAAUACCGCAUACGACCUACGGGUGAAAGCAGGGGAUCUUCGGACCUUGCGCGAUUGGAUGAGCCGAUGUCGGAUUAGCUAGUUGGCGGGGUAAAGGCCCACCAAGGCGACGAUCCGUAGCUGGUCUGAGAGGAUGAUCAGCCACACUGGAACUGAGACACGGUCCAGACUCCUACGGGAGGCAGCAGUGGGGAAUAUUGGACAAGGGGCGCAAGCCUGAUCCAGCCAUACCGCGUGGGUGAAGAAGGCCUUCGGGUUGUAAAGCCCUUUUGUUGGGAAAGAAAAGCAGCAGGUUAAUACCCCGCUGUUCUGACGGUACCCAAAGAAUAAGCACCGGCUAACUUCGUG